Non-coding RNA from Meleagris gallopavo (turkey), 204 nucleotides. The record is from RefSeq and is a predicted model, not a curated record. Lineage: Eukaryota; Metazoa; Chordata; Aves; Galliformes; Phasianidae.
AAAAUGUAACAGUAUUUUCUACUUAAUUGUUUCAUAUCACAUUUCUGUCAUAAGCUCCCCUUCCUAAUCAAUCUAGAAGCUGAUUCCCCAAAGUUAAGGAAUUAUUCCCAUGAAAACUGUGCUGAAAUCAGACAAGAGAAGAAAGCUGACUCAGGGAAAGGUGUCGACCGAGAGACUUGUCUAUGACUUGUUCUAAAAUUAUUA